UAGCUGCUGAUGUUUUCCACGCCCCAUCACUUUCCUUCCUAGGAUCUGGCUGUUUUCCAAAGCCCUGCUGGACCAGAGCACAGUGCAGCUCUUCCUCAAGGCCUCCGAGGCUCGGAGAGGAGGCCGGGUCCUGACCCUGCGGACCCAAGCCCAGCACACAGUGGCCGCCUGGACAGCCCUGCCCCGUCUUCUGACCCUUGUGGGGGUGCUGAAGCAGAAGGAGGUGCUCAGAGAGGGUACUAUCAAGGUCACUGCCGACUCAGCCGUGCUGGGAUUCCUCUUGCGGGACAAGCACGAGAGGGCAGGGAACAGCACCAGCAUGCGCAGUGUGACCUGCAUCCUUGCCCAGAACAGCAGCCAGGCCUUGCCAGGAGAGCUCCGGCUGAGCGGGCGGCUGCAGGCCCAGACGGGGAGCCUCGGGGGCCAGGCCAGCCUCCGUGCUGACACGGCCAGCCUGGCUCUGGUCGGGGUCUGCACCUGGGGCCCUGGGCAUGGCCAGCUCUCUGGCAGCCUGAGUCACAACAUCAGCGCUUUGAGUGAGGCAGGGCUCUCCUCCGAGGCAGGGAUACUCCUGUCACACACCCACGUCACUUCCAACUUCUCAGUGCGCAUGAUGCUGCGAAGUUCCGGGGGUCAGCUGGAUGGGGCCCUUGGCCUGGAGGGCGUGGCCACCAGUGCACCCGGCAGCCAGCUCCGCGCCAGCCUCCACCACACGGUGCCCGGCCUCGGGCGCUGGGGCCUCCCCUUCUCCGUGGAUGGCCGUGGACACUUGCAGCUGGAGGGACCCAGUCUGGAGGCAGGGUUGGUGGUGAGCGUGGAUGGCGAGGAACUUGGUGGAGCCAAGGAGAGGAGGGGAGCAGGUGACGGUCAGGAGCUGACCCUGGGGCUGCACCCUAGCCUCGUGAGGCUCCAGAAUCCAGCUGUGCUGGCACUGAACAGCUCCUUCCUGGUGCACACCUUUGGGGCCAGCCUGGUGGCUCAGGUAUCGUCUGGGGACACCUUCGCCCGAGCCCACAUCCACUCAGCCUGCGGCCACCGUGCUCAUCUGGACACUGGCCUCCAGCACGCGUGGCCUCCACUUCAGGCACUGGGAGUCCCCCCCAACAACCACAUCCGAGUGUCCGUGGGGGGAGAUGAACCCGCCCGGGCCCAGCUGGAGGUGGCCCUGGGCCUGUGCACCCUGACCGCCCGUGGGGACUUCAGAUCAGAGGCCAGCGUCACACACAACUGGACCCUGGCCCUGGUGAAUCACUGCCCUCUGCUGGAGGCGACAGGAAUCCCGCGGGCCCUGCGCUCCAAGGGCAGCCUAAGCUGGGGCCCCUGCGAGUUCGACCUGACCACGGACUUCCAUAGUGACCGUGGAGAUGCCCACCUGCAGUUGGCCCGUUCCUGCGGGCCCCAGACCUUGGUCCUGGGGCACCUGGCCCACUCCCUGCCCCUCCUGGGCCGACUGGGCCUGCCACCCCGGAGUGCCAUCAGCCUGACCGUCCAGCCUGGCCCUGCCCCCCACAGCUCCCUGUCCCUCCAGAUGGGGCCGUGCCGGCUGCAGGGUGCCCUGGAGCAGCACACUGAGAACCAGAGCACGUGGAUGCUGGCCACCGAGCCGGGCUGCCCGCUGCUGGAGGUGUGUAGAGCGGGCCCACGAGGUGCCUGGAGAGGAGCUUCCCAUCAGCGUGAGGCCUGAGCCUGGCUGACACCCCCUCCAGGGACUUCCCGAGACCAGCUACUAUUUCCCCAAAGCCCUGUUGGACCCUUGACCCCUCUUAUCUCUCAUCCGUGUUCCCAUUUGACAGAUGAGGAGAUCGAGGCUGGGUGAGAUUAGAGGCACGCAGUGCCAUGGAACUUGACCACAGGCUCAGAAUUUAUGAGUCUGUCUUUUUAGUAAAAUUUUAAGAGCAGGAAGGGAAUGAGAGGAACUCUUCUUAUGACAGUUGGAAACAGUUGCAUCUUGGUUUCAUAACCUGUUAAAAACCACAGGCUGGGUUCUAUAUGAGCCGAGAGACAGUCUGAGGAUUGUCCUGUGAUGUUUGGGGGAAGGGGACCCCGUGACUCAGGAAAGGGGGAAGCUGGAGUCUAGGUCAGCAGACAGGGCUGGUGCCCUCGUCUGAGUGGCACAGGCCCCUGCCCUGUGUCUCCUGAUGGAGCUUCCUGAGCGUAGAGACAGGGUCUGGUCCACUCGGCAUCCCUGAGCGUAGGGCUGGGUGCUGGCAGAUGUUCUGUCUCUGUUAAUCAGGGCGACACAGGAUUGGUCCACAAGAGAGCAGAGCAUCAUGGGAUGAAGCAGGCCUACCCACUAGGACUUUCUACGAUGAUGGAGAUGUUCUUUGCUAUCCAGGGCAGUAGCCACUAGCCACAGGGAGCUACUGAAGGCUUAAGACGAUUUUACUCAUGCUCCAGAGAAACUGAAUUCUUACUUGGGCUUCAUUUUAAUUUAGAUGGAACCAGCCCCAUGUGGUUAGUGACUGUCCUAGUGGACAGCAGAGAGGUGAAGCACAGACUGAAAACAGAUCAGGUUCAAACCUUAGCUCCUCUACUUAUUAGCUAUGUGAUUCUGGGCAAUGACUUCGCCUUGUUGAGCCUCGGUGUUCCCAUCUGUAAAAUGGGGACUAGUAACUACCAAUCUCAGAGUCGUUGGAAUAGCGUGAAAAGAGAACAUUCUGAUGAAGCACUCGGCAUGAGACUGU
This 2684-nucleotide long non-coding RNA is filed under the name Bos indicus x Bos taurus (hybrid cattle). Its description in RNAcentral is "lncRNA (ENSBIXG00005001380.1)". The record is from RNAcentral. Lineage: Eukaryota; Metazoa; Chordata; Mammalia; Artiodactyla; Bovidae.